AUUGAACGCUGGCGGCAGGCCUAACACAUGCAAGUCGAGCGGAUGAAGGGAGCUUGCUCCUGGAUUCAGCGGCGGACGGGUGAGUAAUGCCUAGGAAUCUGCCUGGUAGUGGGGGAUAACGUCCGGAAACGGGCGCUAAUACCGCAUACGUCCUGAGGGAGAAAGGGGGGGAUCUUCGGACCUCACGCGAUCAGAUGAGCCUAGGUCGGAUUAGCUAGUUGGUGGGGUAAAGGCCUACCAAGGCGACGAUCCGUAACUGGUCUGAGAGGAUGAUCAGUCACACUGGAACUGAGACACGGUCCAGACUCCUACGGGAGGCAGCAGUGGGGAAUAUUGGACAAUGGGCGAAAGCCUGAUCCAGCCAUGCCGCGUGUGUGAAGAAGGUCUUCGGAUUGUAAAGCACUUUUAGUUGGGAGGAAGGGCAGUAAGUUAAUCCCUUGCUGUUUUGACGUUACCAACAGAAUAAGCACCGGCUAACUUCGUG
Molecule: ribosomal RNA, 484 nt
Filed under: uncultured bacterium
Lineage: Bacteria
Description: partial 16S ribosomal RNA
Rfam family: Bacterial small subunit ribosomal RNA
Source: RNAcentral